This 497-nucleotide ribosomal RNA is filed under the name uncultured bacterium. RNAcentral's name for it is "partial 16S ribosomal RNA". It matches the Rfam family "Bacterial small subunit ribosomal RNA", at positions 28 to 507 of the family's 1533-position model. The record is from RNAcentral.
GAUGAACGCUGGCGGCGUGCCUAAUACAUGCAAGUAGAACGCUGAAGGAAGGAGCUUGCUCUUUCCGGAUGAGUUGCGAACGGGUGAGUAACGCGUAGGUAACCUGCCUGGUAGCGGGGGAUAACUAUUGGAAACGAUAGCUAAUACCGCAUAACAGUAGAUGUUGCAUGAUAUCUACUUAAAAGGUGCAAUUGCACCACUACCAGAUGGACCUGCGUUGUAUUAGCUAGUUGGUGAGGUAACGGCUCACCAAGGCGACGAUACAUAGCCGACCUGAGAGGGUGAUCGGCCACACUGGGACUGAGACACGGCCCAGACUCCUACGGGAGGCAGCAGUAGGGAAUCUUCGGCAAUGGACGGAAGUCUGACCGAGCAACGCCGCGUGAGUGAAGAAGGUUUUCGGAUCGUAAAGCUCUGUUGUAAGAGAAGAACGAGUGUGAGAGUGGAAAGUUCACACUGUGACGGUAGCUUACCAGAAAGAGACGGCUAACUACGUG